CGCAGCAGCUUCCCAGCUGCCUCACACAUGGCAUGUGAAGGGCACACGCAGCGUUCCUGGGAGGAUUCCCCGUUGCUCUUUGUACUAGCCUAAACGCAAGUGAAGUCGAACAGUAGUACCUAGGUGCAGUCAGCUUACUACGUAGAGCAAGAAUUGGACCAAACUUUCAUUUGGAGGGAGAAGUAAGAAAAAUUAUAUGU
RNAcentral lists this long non-coding RNA (200 nucleotides) under Chinchilla lanigera (long-tailed chinchilla). RNAcentral describes it as "lncRNA (ENSCLAG00000028283.1)". The record is from RNAcentral. Lineage: Eukaryota; Metazoa; Chordata; Mammalia; Rodentia; Chinchillidae.